Molecule: long non-coding RNA, 1016 nt
Filed under: Malus domestica (apple)
Lineage: Eukaryota; Viridiplantae; Streptophyta; Magnoliopsida; Rosales; Rosaceae
Description: long non-coding RNA (MDOM_LNC020843)
Source: RNAcentral
UGUAAAAGUGUGACUAAUAAGAAGUAGAAGAUAUAUGAGAGAAGAAAAGGUACUUCACAUUCGGAACAUGAAUAAAAUAUAGAUCUCUACGAAAGCAGAUAGUACUUACUUCCUCAUAAGAACUACCAAAGAAAUUGGAAAAACCAAAGAUUGUCUUUACAUUCCAAUUUUAAGGAACUUAAUUCCGUCACUAUUGUAGAGAUAGAUGAAUGUUUUGUUUGACAAAACAUUGUUCUUUAUUAAUCAAUGAUUGGAUUAUAGUAAUCUAAUUGAUUGUCUCUAUAGUAGAGAUGAUAUGGUAGUGUUAACUGUUUAGAAUAUAAUGAUGCUUAAAACCCAAAAGGUUGCAAUGUAGUGACUAAUCCCAACUAACGUUGUGAUACCUCUAAAACAUAAAUUACGAGUUGGUCAUAGAUGGAUGCUUUGGAUCGUUAGAUCCGGAUCCAAUACCUUCUUGUUAAAAUUGUAUAGAGGCGAAAUGUUCGAAUCUUUAUUCUUUUGGAAAGAAUAAAGAAUCACAAAGUUGUUGAGGUUAAUUCACUUAGAUGUUAGUGGAACUUGUCCACAACAUAAUACUACUCAUGUUGUAUGACAUUCACCGAAGAUCACCCUCGGUUGGACUAUAGUUUAUUUUAAAUAAACACAAGUCCGAAUACUUUGCAAAAGGUUUCAAAGAAUUCAAGAAAUGUAAGUUGAUGAGUAAGACGUCUAAAAUAUUUACCUCCUUAGAUUUGAUCCAAGGAAAAGAAACACUUUAGAUGAGUCUCCUUGAAAAAUAUCAAGGAAAGAAGCAUCAUAAGAUAAUAAAUUUCUCCAUUAAGGAGAAGAACGAACUCGAAUAAGAUUUAGUUCGUUAGAUGUUAUCUAUUACCCAUAUAUAGGAUAUAUACUUCUAAAACAAUAUGAUUGUCAAUUAGAAGAUCUUCCAAAUUUUUCAUGACUCUAUAAGAUGUAGUUGGAAAGAAAGACAAAUCUCAAGCAUGUUAAGAUUUGGGGUUGUGAGCUAAUAAGCAAUA